UCCCUGAAGGACUAGUGGUUAGGCUUCGGCACUAUCACCGCUGCAGCCCAGGUUCGAUUCCUGGUCAGGGAA
Molecule: non-coding RNA, 72 nt
Organism: Pangasius djambal
Lineage: Eukaryota; Metazoa; Chordata; Actinopteri; Siluriformes; Pangasiidae
Source: the annotation of a GenBank genome assembly